RNAcentral lists this ribosomal RNA (389 nucleotides) under uncultured Thermus sp. RNAcentral's name for it is "bacterial SSU rRNA". It matches the Rfam family "Bacterial small subunit ribosomal RNA", at positions 986 to 1382 of the family's 1533-position model. The record is from RNAcentral. Lineage: Bacteria; Thermotogati; Deinococcota; Deinococci; Thermales; Thermaceae.
AUGCAGGAAAGCGGCGGAAACGUCGUGUCCGCAAGGGCCCUGCACAGGUGGUGCAUGGCUGUCGUCAGCUCGUGUCGUGAGAUGUGGUUAAGUCCCGCAACGAGCGCAACCCCUGUCGUAUGUUGCCAGCAUUAAGUUGGGGACUCAUACGAGACUGCCGGCGUCAAGCCGGAGGAAGGUGGGGACGACGUCUGGUCAGCAUGGCCCUUACGGCCUGGGCGACACACGUGCUACAAUGCCCACUACAAAGCGAUGCCACCCGGCAACGGGGAGCUAAUCGCAAAAAGGUGGGCCCAGUUCGGAUUGGGGUCUGCAACCCGACCCCAUGAAGCCGGAAUCGCUAGUAAUCGCGGAUCAGCCAUGCCGCGGUGAAUACGUUCCCGGGCCUU